AUGCAGAUUAUGCCUGAGUUGCAGGAGCUUUGUGGGGAAUCAUCUAUGGUGUUACCGAUGGAGCUGGGCUCAUUGGAGUCCUUGGUGGUGGCCAUGACACCCUCGCUACCUCAGUCGCCCGCCUUUGCGAACAAUGGAGACUUGGUUGGUUCUAUCACUGCCUCAUCUAUGGCCAUUGGGCAUGUGGCGUCUUUGAGUGGAGAGGUUGAUGAGACAUGUGUGUUGGCACCUAACUCUGAGCAAGUGGAGACGCCUGAGUCCAUCGUGUCAGUGAUACCUGUGACUGAUGAUGUUGAGGCGGUUGGUACAUUGGCGCCCGAUCCUUCUAAGCCCAACCAACAGCUCGCCCGUGUGGAGCGUGGAGGUUCCGAUGUUGCGGGCACCCACUCGCACGUGAUUGUUGGGCAGGUUUCUGUGCGUGACAAGGUCAAUGAGAUUCUCUUUCAGAUAGAGCUUCACAGCUUGCUCAAACGUUUGGAGAGGAUGAGCCCUGGAUCUGGCAAGGCGAUUGUGGAGGAGGCUCUCACGAGCAAAGGAAAGAAGAGUGGCGUCAUAGAAAAGGCGUCCGCAACUACUUGA
This 579-nucleotide ribosomal RNA is filed under the name Triticum aestivum (bread wheat). Its description in RNAcentral is "partial small subunit ribosomal RNA". The record is from RNAcentral. Lineage: Eukaryota; Viridiplantae; Streptophyta; Magnoliopsida; Poales; Poaceae.